RNAcentral lists this ribosomal RNA (497 nucleotides) under uncultured bacterium. RNAcentral's name for it is "partial 16S ribosomal RNA". It matches the Rfam family "Bacterial small subunit ribosomal RNA", at positions 28 to 507 of the family's 1533-position model. The record is from RNAcentral.
GAUGAACGCUGGCGGCGUGCCUAAUACAUGCAAGUCGAGCGAACAGACGAGGAGCUUGCUCCUCUGACGUUGGCGGCGGACGGGUGAGUAACACGUGGAUAACCUACCUAUAAGACUGGGAUAACUUCGGGAAACCGGAGCUAAUACCGGAUAACAUGUUGAACCGCAUGGUUCAACAGUGAAGGACGGUCUUGCUGUCACUUAUAGAUGGAUCCGCGCCGCAUUAGCUAGUUGGUAAGGUAACGGCUUACCAAGGCAACGAUGCGUAGCCGACCUGAGAGGGUGAUCGGCCACACUGGAACUGAGACACGGUCCAGACUCCUACGGGAGGCAGCAGUAGGGAAUCUUCCGCAAUGGGCGAAAUCCUGACGGAGCAACGCCGCGUGAGUGAAGAAGGUCUUCGGAUCGUAAAACUCUGUUAUUAGGGAAGAACAAAUGUGUAAGUAACUAUGCACGUCUUGACGGUACCUAAUCAGAAAGCCACGGCUAACUACGUG